RNAcentral lists this ribosomal RNA (408 nucleotides) under uncultured cyanobacterium. RNAcentral's name for it is "bacterial SSU rRNA". It matches the Rfam family "Bacterial small subunit ribosomal RNA", at positions 373 to 790 of the family's 1533-position model. Lineage: Bacteria; Bacillati; Cyanobacteriota. The record is from RNAcentral.
GGGCGAAAGCCGUCGACGGAGCAAGACCGCGUGAGGGAUGAAGGCCUACUGGUUGUAAACCUCUUUUCUCAAGGAAGAAGUACUGACGGUACCAGAGGAAUAAGCCUCGGCUAACUCCGUGCCAGCAGCCGCGGUAAUACGGAGGAGGCAAGCGUUAUCCGGAAUUAUUGGGCGUAAAGCGUCCGUAGGUGGCGAUUCAAGUCUGCUGUUAAAGCGUGGCAGCUUCAACUCCAUACAGGCAGAUGGAAACUGGGUAGACUAGAGUGCGGUAGGGGUAGAGGGAAUUCCCAGUGUAGCGGUGAAAUGCGUAGAUAUUGGGAAGAACACCGGUGGCGAAGGCGCUGUACUGGGACUGAAGUGACACCGAUGGACGAAAGAUUGGGGAGACCACGGGAUUAAAUAUCCCCU